UCGCCCUUAGAGUUUGAUCCUGGCUCAGGACGAACGCUGGCGGCGUGCUUAACACAUGCAAGUCGAACGGGCCUUAACGAAUAGAUUUACUAUGAGCUAAGGUUAGUGGCGGACGGGUGAGUAACACGUGGAUAACCUACCUGACACAUCGGGAUAACACCGUGAAAACAGUGCUAAUACCGGAUACGUUCUUUAGGGCGCAUGGUCUAAAGAAGAAAGGGGGAACCCGGUGACAGAUGGAUCCGCGGCUGAUUAGCCAGUUGGUGGGGUAAAGGCCUACCCAAGCGACGAUCAGUAGCCGGCCUGAGAGGGUGAACGGCCACACUGGAACUGAGACACGGUCCAGACUCCUACGGGAGGCAGCAGUGGGGAAUCUUCCGCAAUGGGCGCAAGCCUGACGGAGCAACGCCGCGUGGGUGACGAAGGCCUUCGGGUUGUAAAGCCCUGUCAAAUGGGAAGAAAGGAAUGACAGUACCAUAAGAGGAAGCCACGGCUAACUACGUGCCAGCAGCCGCGGUAAUACGUAGGUGGCAAGCGUUGUCCGGAAUUACUGGGCGUAAAGGGCGAGUAGGCGGUUAAUUAAGUCAGGUGUGAAAACUGUGGGCUCAACCCAGAGAGUGCACCUGAUACUGAGUAACUUGAGUGCAGGAGAGGGCAGUGGAAUUCCUAGUGUAGCGGUGAAAUGCGUAGAUAUUAGGAGGAACACCAGUGGCGAAGGCGGCUGCCUGGACUGUAACUGACGCUGAGGCGCGAAAGCGUGGGGAGCAAACAGGAUUAGAUACCCUGGUAGUCCACGCCGUAAACG
This 805-nucleotide ribosomal RNA is filed under the name uncultured bacterium. RNAcentral describes it as "bacterial SSU rRNA". It matches the Rfam family "Bacterial small subunit ribosomal RNA", at positions 1 to 808 of the family's 1533-position model. The record is from RNAcentral.